ACUGCAGAGAGUGAACUCCUCUGGAAGGAGCAGGGCUGGGACCACGUGGUAACUGGAAGACCGAUGGCCUGAUAGUUAUGUGGAGGAAGGGGUUUCACUUGCUACGUGAUCUCAGGAAGGUUGAUUGUCCCCUCUAGGCUUUGCCCUGCACCUGGUCACCCAACGGCUUCUCAGCCCAGUCACCGCCUUGGAGCUUCACCUCCAGAGGGGGUCAGGCCAGGGAGCAUGCCUCCACCAGACAGCUAAUCACACCCAGGCUCUGGAGAGAAGACAGAGCAGCAAAACGGAAUUAAAAGAAAAUCUCCAGGAAAAGGAUUUGAA
Molecule: long non-coding RNA, 321 nt
Organism: Carlito syrichta (Philippine tarsier)
Lineage: Eukaryota; Metazoa; Chordata; Mammalia; Primates; Tarsiidae
Exons: 2
Source: RefSeq, a predicted model, not a curated record